This 1798-nucleotide ribosomal RNA is filed under the name Fragilidium subglobosum. RNAcentral describes it as "SSU rRNA". It matches the Rfam family "Eukaryotic small subunit ribosomal RNA". The record is from RNAcentral. Lineage: Eukaryota; Dinophyceae; Gonyaulacales; Pyrophacaceae.
AACCUGGUUGAUCCUGCCAGUAGUCAUAUGCUUGUCUCAAAGAUUAAGCCAUGCAUGUCUGAGUAUAAAUGUUUUGAUUGUGAGGCUGCAAAUGGCUCAUUAAAACAGUUAUAAUUUACAUGUUGGUUGAAGCUGACAUGGAUAACCUCGGUAAUUCUGCAGCUAAUUCAUGCGCACAGCUUGACUAUGAAGACACAGUUGUGGUCAUUAGCUACAAAAUUAACCCAAGCCAUGCUUGGAUUCAUGAUGACUCAUAUUGACACGAUGAAUUACAUGGCAUCUGUUGGUGAUGCAUCAUUUAAGUUUCUGACCUAUCAGCUUUCGAUGGUAGGGUAUUGGCUUACCAUGGCAAUGACGGGUAACGGGGGAUUAGGGUUUGAUUCCGGAGAGGAAGCCUGGGAAACGGCUACCACAUCUAAGGAAGGCAGCAGGCGCGCAAAUUACCCAAUUUUGACACAGGGAGGUAGUGACAAGACAUAACAAUACAAGGCAUCCAUGUUUUGUAAUUGGAAUGGAUUGAAUUUAAAUCAUUCUAUGAGUAUCAAUUGGAGGGCAAGUCUGGUGCCAGCAGCCGCGGUAAUUCCAGCUCCAAAAGCAUAUAUUAAAGUUGUUGCGGUUAAAAAGCUCGUAGUUGGACUUCUGCUUUGGUUGGCUGGUCUGCCCAUUGGGUAAGCAUUUGGCAUUGCUUAAGCAUUUGUUGACAAUAUACUACUGCACUUGACUGUGUGGUGUGGUAUUUAUCGCUUUUACUUUGAGAAAAUCAGAGUGUUCCACGCAGGCGAUUGCCUUGUAUAUGUGAGCAUGGAAUAAUGCAUUAAGGCUUUGGUUUGUUGUUGGUUUAAAUCCAUUGGUGAUGAUAAAUAGGAAUAGUUGGGGGCACUUGUAUUUAAUUGUCAGAGGUGAAAUUCUUGGAUUUGUUAAAGACAAACUACUGCGAAAGCAUUUGCCAAAAAUGUUUUCAUUGAUCAAGAACGAAAGUUAGGGGAUCGAAGACGAUCAGAUACCGUCCUAGUCUUAACCAUAAACUAUGCCGACUAGAGAUUGGAUGUUGUCAUCUACAGGAUGCCUUCAGCACCUUAUGAAAAAUCAAAGUUUUUGGGUUCCGGGGGGAGUAUGGUCGCAAGGCUGAAACUUAAAGGAAUUGACGGAAGGGCACCACCAGGAGUGGAGCCUGCGGCUUAAUUUGACUCAACGCGGGGAAACUUACCAGGCCCGGACAUAAUAAGGAUUGACAGAUUGAUAGCUUUUUCUUGAUUUUAUGGGUGGUGGUGCAUGGCCGUUCUUAGUUGGUGGAGUGAUUUGUCUGGUUAAUUCCGUUAACAAACGAGACCUUAACCUGCUAAAUAGUUACAUGUAACUACGGUUAUGUGGGCAACUUCUUAGAGGGACUUCGUGUGUUUAACAUGAGGAAGUUUGAGGCGAUAACAGGUCUGUGAUGCCCUUAGAUGUUCUGGGCUGCACGCGUGCUACACUGAUGCAUUCAACAAGUGUUUGCCUUUGCCUGGCAUGGUUGGGUAACCUGUAACAUGUAUCGUGAUGGGGAUGGAUUGUUGCAAUUAUUAAUCUUGAACGAGGAAUUCCUAGUAAGCCAGAGUUCAUCAGCUUGGGCUGAUUACGUCCCUGCCCUUUGUACACAYCGCCCGUCGCUCCUACCGAUUGAGUGGUCCGGUGAAUUAUUUGGAUUGCAGCAAUGCUCAGUGUGUGAGCAUUGUUUAACAAGUAUAAUGAACCUUAUCACUUAGAGGAAGGAGAAGUYCGUAACAAGGUUYYUGUAGGUGRACCUGMAGAAGGAUCAAGC